This 470-nucleotide ribosomal RNA is filed under the name uncultured bacterium. RNAcentral describes it as "partial 16S ribosomal RNA". It matches the Rfam family "Bacterial small subunit ribosomal RNA", at positions 28 to 507 of the family's 1533-position model. The record is from RNAcentral.
GACGAACGCUGGCGGCGUGCUUAACACAUGCAAGUCGAACGGGAAAUUCGGGACUUUGCGCGCUCCGGUUCGGAGGCCAACGGGAGAUUAACUUGUGUUCAGUAUGCCUCGCACUCUGGGAUAAUCAUUGCAAAUGACGUCUUAGACCGGAUGAGACACGGCCGGGCGUUGUGUCCGCGUUGAAUGAACUUGUGUGCGGGGUGAGCUCGCGGCCUAUCAGCUUGUGAGUGAGGUACUGGCUCACCAAGGCGACGACGGGUAGCCGGCCUGAGGGGGUGACCGGCUACACUGGGACUGAGAUACGGCCCAGACUCCUACGGGAGGCAGCAGUGGGGAAUAUUGCACAAUGGGCGGAAGCCUGAUGCAGCAACGCCGCGUGGGGGAAGACGGCCUUCGGUUUGUAAACCUCUUUUCUCUGGGACGAAGCGAAAGUGACGGUACCUGGAGAAAAAGCACCGGCUAACUCCGUG